GAGAAACACUGGGGGUGCGCGCGAGCGCUGAGACCGGCUUUGCCGGAACUCUUUGUACCUGAUCUAGUUCAUACUAGCGUAGGGAAUGUGGCGUUUGACUAUU
This 103-nucleotide non-coding RNA is filed under the name Trichococcus sp. RNAcentral describes it as "TPP sequence". It matches the Rfam family "TPP riboswitch aptamer (THI element)". Rfam says of the family: Vitamin B(1) in its active form thiamin pyrophosphate (TPP) is an essential coenzyme that is synthesised by coupling of pyrimidine and thiazole moieties in bacteria. The previously detected thiamin-regulatory element, thi box was extended, resulting in a new, highly conserved RNA secondary structure, the THI element, which is widely distributed in eubacteria and also occurs in some archaea. Analysis of operon structures identified a large number of new candidate thiamin-regulated genes, mostly transporters, in various prokaryotic organisms. The record is from RNAcentral. Lineage: Bacteria; Bacillati; Bacillota; Bacilli; Lactobacillales; Carnobacteriaceae.